This 402-nucleotide ribosomal RNA is filed under the name bacterium. RNAcentral describes it as "partial 16S ribosomal RNA". It matches the Rfam family "Bacterial small subunit ribosomal RNA", at positions 355 to 776 of the family's 1533-position model. The record is from RNAcentral.
UGGGGAAUUUUGCACAAUGGGGGAAACCCUGAUGCAGCGACGCCGCGUGAUUUAGAAGGCCUUCGGGUUGUAAAAAUCUUUUUUACGGGAUGAAAAUGACAGUACCGUAAGAAUAAGGUCCGGCUAAAUACGUGCCAGCAGCCGCGGUAAUACGUAUGGACCGAGCGUUGUCCGGAAUCAUUGGGCGUAAAGGGUACGUAGGCGGCCUAGUAAGUUAGAAGUGAAAUAAUAUAGCUCAACUAUAUAAAGCUUUUAAAACUGCUAGGCUUGAGAGAUGGAAGGGAAAGUGGAAUUCCUAGUGUAGCGGUGAAAUGCGCAGAUAUUAGGAAGAAUACCGGUGGCGAAGGCAACUUUCUGGUCAUCAUCUGACGCUGAGGUACGAAAGCGUGGGUAGCAAACAGG